GCAGAAUACUUUGAUUUUGAGUGA
RNAcentral lists this microRNA (24 nucleotides) under Ananas comosus (pineapple). RNAcentral describes it as "microRNA s1494_c085b". Lineage: Eukaryota; Viridiplantae; Streptophyta; Magnoliopsida; Poales; Bromeliaceae. The record is from RNAcentral.